GUAUGCUUUUAAUAACAAAGCCCAAGAAAAUUCCAGAAGCCUUCAAAAGGUAUAGAAAACAUCAAAGCCUAAAAUAAAUCUUUAAAAUAAAUCUCACCAGGAGGCUUAUGUUCUUGGUUAACCCAUGAAAUUUAAAAAAAUAUGAUUGUGGUAAAUUCAGAUUCCCAUUCAUUGUUUAUCGUUAUUGUGACUGAUUUCUCAGGUCCCAGUGGCACAUGCAACGGCUAAUGGCGUAGUCCUGUCUCUGGAAGUGGAAAGAGUGGAGCUGACGGUGGCAGCAGUGCUGAGCAGUGAGACGUUCUGAGAGAGUUUCACCUGUGAGGAUGAGGAGAUUCAGCCUUUGUGAAGAGAUCUUGGAUGUUGAAGUAAAAUGUGAUUAUUCGUAUAGAAGUAACAGAGAUCUGGCCAAGGAUGGAGCAACAUCUCUCAAAGGCUGAGAACACUCUCUGGGUUGCACUUCGAUGGCAGCGGCAAAAGGUCUGGUGUUCUCUCCUGGGCCUUUAAUUUCUCCUCUGAACUUUAAAGGUGCCUAAACCUUUCCAAAACCAUUCUAUUACUUUCAUCACCACAGUCUCCCUCUUUUUCCAAACUCUAUCUCCUCCCCUUCUGUUCAAUAUGAGAAAGAGGGAGAAACAGCAAGGAAGCAAGGAGUGCAGGUAAGACUGUACAGUUCUCUGCUGUUUUUGUUCUCAUUGCUGCUUGUGGGGAAGGAGUAGAGCCAACAAAGUCUGGGAAAACAUUCCCCCUGCUCUUCCUUUAUACUUCUUUAGGCCACUUCGUGUUUUGUUCUUAGUAACCAACAAAUGUCUAAACCUCCUACAUUUUAUGUGCCUGUAUUGAUCUUAUAAUCUUUAACCAUAAUGUCUUUGGCCCAAAACAUAUUUUGG
Molecule: long non-coding RNA, 887 nt
Filed under: Sus scrofa (pig)
Lineage: Eukaryota; Metazoa; Chordata; Mammalia; Artiodactyla; Suidae
Description: lncRNA (ENSSSCG00070004231.1)
Source: RNAcentral